AGAAUUCAAUCUGAAAAAUAGAAAUACAACAUAAAUAUCAGACAUCCCAAGAGAUGCAGAGACAAAAAGCAAACCCAGAGUUUACAUGUUACAGCUGUGGCCAGAAGGGACACAAAGUGUUACAAUAUCCGACAAACUAUAAAGGACAAAGGCAAUGGUGAAGUUUCUGUAUAAACUCCAGUCACAAAGAGAGUAAUUGUUGAAAAAAGAAAGUGUGAAACUGUUGGGAUCUGGAGAUCUGCCCACCUUUCUCCAGCAGAGGGCGCCCUAGGUCUCCUGGAGCUGAAGCUGACUACCACACCUGCGGCUGAUUUGCUCAUCAGGAGGAGCAGCAUAUAAGCAGCGGCAGAACUACUCUUCAGUGCCAGAGUGUUAAGCUAGCUACGUAAGAAUCUGACUGAGACCCUGGAGCUCUGGAAGAGCUACUCAACUGAAACCUGCCUGCCUGCUCUCAGUAACAAACCUGAAGAUCAAACUGUCUGGAUCUGCCUCCCAUCCUUCAAGAAGUAACUUGAAGAAGCUCUUAACACUCACAGCCUGAAGCUAAGUCCUGUCGCAGCCAAGCCCUCUGCCAACGAUCAGUCUCUAGACCCUCCUGGUUCCCUCCCUCUGCCGCUCAGCCAGAAUCUCUGAACAGAGAGACCUUGUGUGACCAGUCCCGGAUCUGAUUCCAGCAUCUGUCAUCUAACCUUGUGUUUAUCAUUGAUUCCAGAAUCUGUGAAACAACCUUGUGCAAACCCUUAAUAAAUUGUUAAACUUUA
Cyprinodon tularosa is the source of this 761-nucleotide long non-coding RNA. RefSeq lists it as uncharacterized. The record is from RefSeq and is a predicted model, not a curated record. The transcript is spliced from 3 exons. Lineage: Eukaryota; Metazoa; Chordata; Actinopteri; Cyprinodontiformes; Cyprinodontidae.